UACGGUGAUCCUAGAAACCAACAAAAUAGAACCAUGCCGUCCUAUUUUAUUAUUCCAUGCUAACCUAUUCAGGCACUUGCCUGCUUUAAGCACUCUAAUUUUUUCAAGGUAAUAGUUCUGCUUCCCCGGCGCACCAAAUUAAUGGCAUGCCGGUUAUUCAGAAGGUAGGAACCCAUCACACCAGUACGGACCGUGAAGCCCGACCA
This 206-nucleotide unclassified non-coding RNA is filed under the name uncultured Acaulosporaceae. RNAcentral describes it as "sequence contains 18S rRNA gene". The record is from RNAcentral. Lineage: Eukaryota; Fungi; Glomeromycota; Glomeromycetes; Diversisporales; Acaulosporaceae.